UGCCAGCCGCCGCGGUAAUACGGAGGGUGCAAGCGUUAUCCGGAAUUACUGGGUUUAAAGGGUGCGUAGGCGGAUUAACAAGUCAGAGGUGAAAGCUUUCAGCUUAACUGAAAAAUUGCCUUUGAAACUGUUAGUCUUGAAUUAUGUUGAGGUUAGCGGAAUGUGACAUGUAGCGGUGAAAUGCAUAGAUAUGUCAUAGAACACCAAUUGCGAAGGCAGCUAGCUAGGCAUUAAUUGACGCUGAGGCACGAAAGCAUGGGGAGCGAACAGGAUUAGAUA
This 279-nucleotide ribosomal RNA is filed under the name uncultured bacterium. RNAcentral describes it as "partial 16S ribosomal RNA". It matches the Rfam family "Bacterial small subunit ribosomal RNA", at positions 506 to 784 of the family's 1533-position model. The record is from RNAcentral.